CCUACGGGAGGCAGCAGUGGGGGAUAUUGCACAAUGGGGGAAACCCUGAUGCAGCGACGCCGCGUGCGUGAAGAAGUCUUUCGGUAUGUAAAGCUCUAUCAGCAGGGAAGAAAAUGACGGUACCUGACCAAGAAGCCCCGGCUAACUACGUGCCAGCAGCCGCGGUACUACGUAGGGGGCAAGCGUGAUCCGGAUUUACUGGGUGUAAGGGGAGCGUAGACGGUUAUGUAAGUCUGUAGUGAAAGCCCGGGGCCCAACCCCGGGACUGCUUUGGAAACUGUGUAACUGGAGUACAGGAGGGGCAGGCGGAAUGCCUGGUGUAGCGGUGAAAUGCGUAGAUAUCAGGAGGAACACCGGCGGCGAAGGCGGCCUGCUGGACUGAAACUGACGUUGAGGCUCGAAAGCGUGGGGAGCAAACAGGAUUAGAUACCCCUGUAGUC
This 440-nucleotide ribosomal RNA is filed under the name uncultured bacterium. RNAcentral's name for it is "partial 16S ribosomal RNA". It matches the Rfam family "Bacterial small subunit ribosomal RNA", at positions 338 to 795 of the family's 1533-position model. The record is from RNAcentral.